GAUGAAGAACGCAGCGAAAUGCGAUAAGUAAUGUGAAUUGCAGAAUUCAGUGAAUCAUCGAAUCUUUGAACGCACAUUGCGCCCCUUGGUAUCCCGGGGGGCAUGCCUGUUCGAGCGUCAUUAUAACCCCUCAAGCUCAGCUUGGUGUUGGGGCCUGCCAACUGGCAGCCCUUAAAAUCAGUGGCGGCGCCAUCUGGCUCUAAGCGUAGUAAUUUCUCUCGCUAUAGGGUCCCGGUGGAUGCUGGCCAACAACCCCCAAUUUUCUAUGGUUGACCUCGGAUCAGGUAGGGAUACCCGCUGAACUUAAGCAUAUCAAUAAGCGGAGGA
Molecule: unclassified non-coding RNA, 327 nt
Filed under: soil metagenome
Description: partial contains 5.8S ribosomal RNA, internal transcribed spacer 2, and large subunit ribosomal RNA
Rfam family: 5.8S ribosomal RNA (bases 1-120)
Source: RNAcentral